ACGCUGACAGAAUGCUUAACACAUGCAAGUCGAUGAUGGGAGCUAGCUUGCUAGAAGAAGUCAUGGCGGACGGGUGAGUAACGUGUAAAGAACUUACCAUAUAGACUGGGAUAACAGAGGGAAACUUCUGAUAAUACUGGAUAAGUUAGUAGUAGCAUUACUAAGUAAUGAAAGGUAGUAAUACGCUAUAUGAGAGCUUUGCAUCCUAUUAGCUAGUUGGUGGGGUAAAAGCCUACCAAGGCGAUGAUAGGUAGCCGGCCUGAGAGGGUGGACGGCCACAAGGGGACUGAGAUACGGCCCUUACUCCUACGGGAGGCAGCAGUGGGGAAUAUUGGACAAUGGAGGCAACUCUGAUCCAGCAAUUCUGUGUGUGUGAAGAAGGUUUUAGGACUGUAAAACACUUUUAGUAGGGAAGAAAGAAAUGACGGUACCUACAGAAGAAGCGACGGCUAAAUACGUGCCAGCAGCCGCGGUAAUACGUAUGUCGCGAGCGUUAUCCGGAAUUAUUGGGCUUAAAGGGCAUCUAGGCGGUUAAACAAGUUGAAGGUGAAAACCUGUGGCUCAACCAUAGGCUUGCCUACAAAACUGUAUAACUAGAGUACUGGAAAGGUGGGUGGAACUACACGAGUAGAGGUGAAAUUCGUAGAUAUGUGUAGGAAUGCCGAUGAUGAAGAUAACUCACUGGACAGCAACUGACGCUGAAGUGCGAAAGCUAGGG
This 718-nucleotide ribosomal RNA is filed under the name uncultured Sneathia sp. RNAcentral's name for it is "bacterial SSU rRNA". It matches the Rfam family "Bacterial small subunit ribosomal RNA", at positions 33 to 765 of the family's 1533-position model. Lineage: Bacteria; Fusobacteriati; Fusobacteriota; Fusobacteriia; Fusobacteriales; Leptotrichiaceae. The record is from RNAcentral.